Molecule: transfer RNA, 75 nt
Filed under: Candidatus Cloacimonas sp. 4484_140
Lineage: Bacteria; Pseudomonadati; Candidatus Cloacimonadota; Cloacimonadia (SeqCode); Cloacimonadales (SeqCode); Cloacimonadaceae (SeqCode)
Also listed under: 2 other names
Description: tRNA-Glu
Rfam family: tRNA
About the family: Transfer RNA (tRNA) molecules are approximately 80 nucleotides in length. Their secondary structure includes four short double-helical elements and three loops (D, anti-codon, and T loops).
Source: RNAcentral
GGCCCCAUCGUCUAGGGGUAAGGACGCCGGAUUCUCAUUCCGGUAACAGGGGUUCGAUUCCCCUUGGGGCUACCA